This 495-nucleotide ribosomal RNA is filed under the name uncultured bacterium. RNAcentral describes it as "partial 16S ribosomal RNA". It matches the Rfam family "Bacterial small subunit ribosomal RNA", at positions 28 to 507 of the family's 1533-position model. The record is from RNAcentral.
GACGAACGCUGGCGGCGUGCCUAAUACAUGCCAGUAGAACGCUGAAGGAGGAGCUUGCUCUUCUGGAUGAGUUGCGAACGGGUGAGUAACGCGUAGGUAACCUGCCUGGUAGCGGGGGAUAACUAUUGGAAACGAUAGCUAAUACCGCAUAACAGUAGAUGUUGCAUGACAUUUACUUAAAAGGUGCAAUUGCAUCACUACCAGAUGGACCUGCGUUGUAUUAGCUAGUUGGUGGGGUAACGGCCCACCAAGGCGACGAUACAUAGCCGACCUGAGAGGGUGAUCGGCCACACUGGGACUGAGACACGGCCCAGACUCCUACGGGAGGCAGCAGUAGGGAAUCUUCGGCAAUGGACGGAAGUCUGACCGAGCAACGCCGCGUGAGUGAAGAAGGUUUUCGGAUCGUAAAGCUCUGUUGUAAGAGAAGAACGAGGGUGAGAGUGGAAAGUUCACACUGUGACGGUAUCUUACCAGAAAGGGACGGCUAACUACGUG